GACGAACGCUGGCGGCGUGCUUAACACAUGCAAGUCGAACGGAAAGGCCCUGCUUGCGGGGUACUCUAGUGGCGAACGGGUGAGUAACACGUGGGUGUUCUGCCCUGCACUUCGGGAUAAGCCUGGGGAACUGGGUCUAAUAUCGGAUAGGGGCCCUUUUUAGUGUGAUGGUUGGAAAGUUUUUUUGGUGUAGGAUGGGCUCGCGGCCUGUCAGCUUGUUGGUUGGGUAAUGGCCUACCAAGGCGGCGCCGGGUAGCCGGCCUGGGUGGGUGGACGGGCACAGUGGGACUGGGAUACGGGCCAGACUCCUACGGGAAGGAGCAGUGGGGGAUAUUGCACAAAGGGCGCGAGCCUGAUGCAGCGACGCCGCGGGGGGGAUGACGGCCUUCGGGUUGGAAACUCCUUUCGCCAGGGACGGAGCUGUUAGUGACGGUACCUAGAUAAGAAGCACCGGCUAACUACGUG
This 465-nucleotide ribosomal RNA is filed under the name uncultured bacterium. RNAcentral's name for it is "partial 16S ribosomal RNA". It matches the Rfam family "Bacterial small subunit ribosomal RNA", at positions 28 to 507 of the family's 1533-position model. The record is from RNAcentral.